Molecule: transfer RNA, 63 nt
Filed under: Molipteryx fuliginosa
Lineage: Eukaryota; Metazoa; Arthropoda; Insecta; Hemiptera; Coreidae
Also listed under: 2 other names
Description: tRNA-Gly
Rfam family: tRNA
About the family: Transfer RNA (tRNA) molecules are approximately 80 nucleotides in length. Their secondary structure includes four short double-helical elements and three loops (D, anti-codon, and T loops).
Source: RNAcentral
ACUUUUUUAGUAUAAAUAAUAUAUUUGACUUCCAAUCAAAAGAUCUUAAUUCAAGAAAAAGUA